CUGGGUUCCAGCGAUUCUCCUGUGUCAGCCUCCCGAGUAGCUCAGAUUACAGGCCUGCACCACCACGCCCGGCUAGUUUUGUAUUUUUAGUAGAGGCGAGGUUUCACCAUGUUGGCCAUUCUGGUCUCAACCUCAUGACCUCAGGUAAUCCGCCUGCCUUGUCUUCCCAAAGUGCUGGGAUUACAGGUUUGAGCCACCGCACCCAGCCCCCUAGCUCAUUUUUUAAAGGGUAAUGCCAGCUGCUGUACUGAGACUAGACCACAGGGCUGAGUGGGAACAAGGGAAGAGGCUGGAAGACCAGAAGGCCCCUGCUAUAGUCUGAAAGAGGCAGCACUGGCUGGAACCAAGGGGACCCACAGAAAAACUCAAAGGAAU
Molecule: long non-coding RNA, 375 nt
Filed under: Homo sapiens (human)
Lineage: Eukaryota; Metazoa; Chordata; Mammalia; Primates; Hominidae
Description: HSALNT0148189
Source: RNAcentral